UGGGUUUGGGGUUCUAGUAUAGAUUGGUAUUCUAUUAACCCUUGUUCAGUUUUAGAUUGAACUUGAUUUUAGGAUAAACAAGGAUUAUAAGGUCAGGUUCAACAUAAUUGUUUUGGACAUUAUGUUGGGUGUCAGAGGGUUUGGUUUCAAGAAGAAGAGUUUCAAGGGGAACAAUUUGAAAAGGAAUGGCUUUAAUAGCACUAAAGUCAGGUUCAUCAUAAUCAGAACUUGAGCUUGAGCUUGUAAACUUGGAGCUGGAAACCUCAAUGGGGGGUUCAAACAUGAUGCUUAAGGGUUAGGAUUGGUUAGAAUCAGAGAGAGAUACUAGCUGGUUUUAUUCAGAAGGUAACUCACCAUCUAGAUGACUUGUUAGUUUCUCUAGGACAGAUGUUGUAGGGAUAGUUUCUUGUUGAGAAAGUCCUUAAGCAUAUGACCAAUGUCAUGAGAAUCUAAUUCAUAGGUUGGUUUAGGAUAUAGUAUGACAUGACCCAUAUAUAGGUUAUGGUCAGGUUUUGGUGAGAGUGUUUAGAUGAUGGUGUAGGAGAUUGAGGUGGUGUUGGAGUAGGUGAUUUAGUCAUAAGUGGUCAAUUGUAAGAAUUUAUGACAUUAUCAAAGGCAUAAUUUAUAGAAUUACUUGCGUGGACAGUCUUUGCAGCAUCUGAAGCAGCUUUCUCUUCUUCCACAAUAGUUUCAAGAGCAUGGGUAGUAGUUGUUUCUGGCUCAUUAGAAGCUUCAACUUCAAAAGUACUCCCAGCCUUAUUCAACACAACUUUUACUCCAACUUCAAAUUCCACUUGCUUCAGUAGAACUUUAGCAAUAGAAGGCUAUUCCAUAGCUUGAUUGAUAAAUGCAUAUGCUAUCAAUCUAUAUCUUUCUUGAAUAGAUUUUUUAGAGAGGUUCUGAGAUACCUUUUCAAAACUUUGGCCCUCUUGACCAGAAGUUGUUCAUCAUCAUCUUCUUCUUCUUACAACAUCAUCUUAUUCUUCUUCUUACAACAUCAUCUUCUUUCGCUUCUUCUUUUUCACAGACGUGGACAAAUCAUAAGUUAUCUUUUGAGGAGUUUUUCUAGUGGCUCCACUUCUUAUCUUGGUAUGAAUCAAGAUUGUUGUGGAGGUCACUUUUUGUACCUCAUUCAGAAAUUCCUUGUGGUGUACAACCUUCUUCUUAGGUGGCUUCUGAAC
Molecule: long non-coding RNA, 1181 nt
Filed under: Lathyrus oleraceus (garden pea)
Lineage: Eukaryota; Viridiplantae; Streptophyta; Magnoliopsida; Fabales; Fabaceae
Description: Pisum sativum (pea) long non-coding RNA (PSAT_LNC023789)
Source: RNAcentral